Molecule: ribosomal RNA, 253 nt
Filed under: uncultured bacterium
Lineage: Bacteria
Description: partial 16S ribosomal RNA
Rfam family: Bacterial small subunit ribosomal RNA
Source: RNAcentral
UACGAGGGGGGCGAGCGUUGUUCGGAAUUAUUGGGCGUAAAGGGCGCGUAGGCGGCGCGGUAAGUCACCUGUGAAACCUCUGGGCUUAACUCAGAGCCUGCAGGCGAAACUACCGUGCUGGAGUGUGGGAGAGGUGCGUGGAAUUCCCGGUGUAGCGGUGAAAUGCGUAGAUAUCGGGAGGUACACCUGUGGCGAAAGCGGCGCACUGGACCACAACUGACGCUGAGGCGCGACAGCGUGGGGAGCAAACAGG